GGCACAGUCUACGAUGGGCAGAAGAAAAAUUUUUUUGAACAGAUGGUGGAGAUUAAUCCCGAACGAGAUCGGACGGCUUCUGUUCAUUAUCGAUUGAAAACUAAGUGAAGAAGAAAUCAGGAGCAUGAUCCGACGGCUGAAAUUCAAUCUGGAGUCUAAUCCGAUGGCUGAUGUUCAUCCUGACUGAGAAUAGAAAGAGUUAAGCAUGAUUCGACUACUAAAAUUCAAUCUGGAGUCUAAUCCGACAGCUGGUGUUCAUCUCAACUG
This 267-nucleotide long non-coding RNA is filed under the name Elaeis guineensis (African oil palm). RNAcentral describes it as "long non-coding RNA (EGUI_LNC033649)". The record is from RNAcentral. Lineage: Eukaryota; Viridiplantae; Streptophyta; Magnoliopsida; Arecales; Arecaceae.